GGCUCUUUGGCGCAAUUGGUAGCGCAAUCGACUCCAGAUCGAUAGGUUACAGGUUCAAAUCCUGUAGGGGUCA
RNAcentral lists this transfer RNA (73 nucleotides) under Rozella allomycis CSF55. RNAcentral describes it as "tRNA-Trp (CCA) (tRNA-Trp-CCA-1-1)". It matches the Rfam family "tRNA". From Rfam's summary of the family: Transfer RNA (tRNA) molecules are approximately 80 nucleotides in length. Their secondary structure includes four short double-helical elements and three loops (D, anti-codon, and T loops). Further hydrogen bonds mediate the characteristic L-shaped molecular structure. tRNAs have two regions of fundamental functional importance: the anti-codon, which is responsible for specific mRNA codon recognition, and the 3' end, to which the tRNAs corresponding amino acid is attached (by aminoacyl-tRNA synthetases). tRNAs cope with the degeneracy of the genetic code in two manners: having more than one tRNA (with a specific anti-codon) for a particular amino acid; and 'wobble' base-pairing, i.e. permitting non-standard base-pairing at the 3rd anti-codon position. Lineage: Eukaryota; Fungi; Rozellomycota. The record is from Rfam by way of RNAcentral.